This 767-nucleotide ribosomal RNA is filed under the name uncultured Corynebacterium sp. Its description in RNAcentral is "bacterial SSU rRNA". It matches the Rfam family "Bacterial small subunit ribosomal RNA", at positions 51 to 831 of the family's 1533-position model. The record is from RNAcentral. Lineage: Bacteria; Bacillati; Actinomycetota; Actinomycetes; Mycobacteriales; Corynebacteriaceae.
ACACAUGCAAGUCGAACGGAAGGCUCCAGCUUGCUGGAGUACUCGAGUGGCGAACGGGUGAGUAACACGUGGGUAAUCUGCCCUGCACUCUGGGAUAAGCCUGGGAAACUGGGUCUAAUACUGGAUAUGACCUUUCUCCUUAUGGGGUUUGGUGGAAAGUUUUUCGGUGUAGGAUGAGCCCGCGGCCUAUCAGCUUGUUGGUGGGGUGAUGGCCUACCAAGGCGACGACGGGUAGCCGGCCUGAGAGGGUGAUCGGCCACAUUGGGACUGAGAUACGGCCCAGACUCCUACGGGAGGCAGCAGUGGGGAAUAUUGCACAAUGGGCGGAAGCCUGAUGCAGCGACGCCGCGUGAGGGAUGACGGCCUUCGGGUUGUAAACCUCUUUCAGCAGGGACGAAGCGUAAGUGACGGUACCUGCAGAAGAAGCACCGGCUAACUACGUGCCAGCAGCCGCGGUAAUACGUAGGGUGCGAGCGUUGUCCGGAAUUACUGGGCGUAAAGAGCUCGUAGGCGGUUUGUCACGUCGUCUGUGAAAUCCUAGGGCUUAACCCUGGACGUGCAGGCGAUACGGGCUGACUUGAGUACUACAGGGGAGACUGCAAUCUCUGGUGUAGCGGUGGAAUGCACAGAUAUCAGGAAGAACACCGAUGGCGAAGGCAGGUCUCUGGGUAGUAACUGACGCUGAGGAGCGAAGCAUGGGUAGCGAACAGGAUUAGAUAGCCCUGUAGUUCAAUGCCGUAAACGGUGGGCGCUAGGUGUGGGGGUUU